GCAGGACACCGGCCGUUGAGUUGCCCACCCCUGGCUUACAGUGACUGUCCUGCAAAAAGAUGGCAGGAGUGACGCCCACUGUGGUCUUCUGCUGCUGCUUCAUCCGUUUUAAGGUUCAACUUGACACCCACGUGUGCUCUUCUGCAAACCUUGGCUGUAGCAGGUGUCCAAAGCAGGCUGGCCAUUCUUCUCUGACCUCUGGCAUCAACAAGGCACGUCCACCAAGAGAACUGCUGUUCACUGCAUAAUUUCUCUUGUUCAGACUAUUCUCUAUAAACCCUAAAGAUGGUUGUGUGGGGAAAAAACCCAGUAAAUCAGCAGCUUCUGAAAUGUUCAGACCUGGUUUAUGGUUGAACAAUGCUUAUGAACGUACUUAUAGGGAAAAGGAAAACAAUCCUCAUCACAUUUUUAAAUGUAAGAUAAGAGGACAGUUGAAUAGUGUAUCAUACAUGAUCUGCACCAAUAUAAUACAAAUAAAAAUAUAAAAAGGCAAGAUAAAGCCACUAUACAGCACUUUUCUACUCUGAGCACUCAAAGCCCUUUGCACAACUUGCCUCAUUCACACAAGCACUUUUUCUAUGCUCUUUCUACGUAAGUGCUUUCUAUCUAACAUGCGCACACAUUCAUACUAUGAUGAAUGCAUUGGAGAGCAACUUGGGAUUAGUAUUUUGCCCAAGGAUAUUGGGCAUGCAGAUAGGAGGGAUCGAACCACUAACCUUUUGAUCAGCAGAUAACCCGUUCCUUAUAUCUACCACUAAAGCCUCUUUUCCAUUAGUAUCUACUCAGUUUGACUUGACUCGACUCUACUGGGUUUUGGU
This is a long non-coding RNA of Oreochromis niloticus (Nile tilapia), 818 nucleotides long. RefSeq lists it as uncharacterized. The record is from RefSeq and is a predicted model, not a curated record. Lineage: Eukaryota; Metazoa; Chordata; Actinopteri; Cichliformes; Cichlidae. The transcript is spliced from 3 exons.